This 210-nucleotide long non-coding RNA is filed under the name Manihot esculenta (cassava). Its description in RNAcentral is "long non-coding RNA (MESC_LNC011886)". The record is from RNAcentral. Lineage: Eukaryota; Viridiplantae; Streptophyta; Magnoliopsida; Malpighiales; Euphorbiaceae.
GGGUUAGGGGAAAGGGGGUGAGCUACAAAAGCCCAGUGAGCAGAAAAAUAAAACAAUUUCAAUAUCACAUGUUUUUAUGAAAUGCAUCACAACACAAGUAAAUCACCUUAAGAUAGUAUUGUCACCAAUAGCCCUCUACAUAUCCAAUAAAUGCCCGGCCCUCGACGGAGCUGCUCAGGACUUCCUCUUAAACAUAACAUAACAUGUCCA